CCUGUGACAUAUGGAAGUUCCCAGGCCAGGGAUCGAAUCCUAGCUGCAGCUACAGUAACUCACUGUGCUGAGCCAGGGAUUGAACCAGCACUGCUGCAGAGACACCACCAGAUCCUUAACCGAGUGCACCACAGUGGGAACUCCAAUCAAAUAUUUAAAUAGGAAAUGAUUAAUACUUUCUUAUUACAAUUUAUAUAUAUAAAUAUAUACAUAUGCUUAGCCUCCAAAUCAGCAUCUGAUAAGAGGGGGAAUACCUGAAGUCAAGUUUAAGGCAUGGACUCCCAUUAUUUCUACCACUUAUUAUGAUUGGAGGUAUUAGCAAACAUAAUUAGUAAAAAAAAAAGAAUUGGAAAGGAAAAGAUAAAAUUAUCUCUAUUUGCUGAAGACAUGAUAGAAUACCUAGAAAACUAGAAUAUAAAAACAUAUAAAAAUCAACACAAAAGAAAAGAAACCAAGAUUAAAUGCUUGAGUAUAAACUUAGAAAUUUGCAACACUUACAUGAAUGAAAGUUUAAAACUAACUCCUGAUGGACUGAGAAAUUCAAGAGUAAAUUUGACUAAGCGGAAUGAUGUCUCUCGUUCUUGGUCAAUUCAUCAUCAUAAAAAUAUUAGCUCUCUCCAAGUUAAUAUGUACGUUUAACCUGAAACCAAUAAAAGUUUGGAUUGAAAUAGGGUCUACUCAAGGUAACUGACUGAUAUCUUUUAAGUCUCUUCCUAUUUACAGCGCUUCUUAGUCUCUCACCCUUUCCCUUUUCCUCACACUAAGACCACCAUCCCCAGGUAAUCUCUCUAGCAAGACAGACCUCAUUAUGCGAUGGCUGUUUUCUGAGAACAAGGAGGAGGCAGCAAGAUCUUUAAGAUGCAGCCUUGCAAGCUGCGUGUCACUUCUGACACAUAUUAUUAAUCAUAGUCAGUCACUGGGCCAGCCCAGAUUCAAGGAAAAGGGAAAUAGACUCUUAUCUCAAUUUGAAAAACUGGCAAAGUAACAUUGUAAAAAAUAAAAAAGCAUGUGGGAUGGGAACUACUGUUACAGCCAUCUUUGCAAACACAAUCUACCAUAAAAUGCAAAUGAAAACUACAAAAAAACUUUCGCAUCCAUCAAAUUGCAAAAAUCUAAAAGUUGACAGUGGCAGGCUCGAAAGAAAUAGGCAAUCUCAUGCACUGCAGGUGGAAGUAGAGUGUGGUAAAGGCGCUAUGCAAGGGAAUCUGACAAUAAUUACCCUUUGACAGCAAUCAAUCAUAAUCCUACUUCUACCUACUUGAAUAGAAUAUGUACAUAUGCUGGUUGCGUUAACUUCACUUUUCUUUUCCUUGACCCAUAAGAGUAAGCAGUACAGAAGCUAUGAUUUUCAUUCUUUUAAAAUAACUAAAAGCAUCAUCAACUGAUAUGCUGAGCACCAUUGCUGGUCUUAUAUUCUGAUAAACAGAGGAACUCACGGUAUAUCUGAUAAGGUCUGAUUCUGCAAGUAACUUAAUAUUCUGCAUAUUUAUGUAAAGAUGAACUUUAGCUUCCAAGUUAUUCUUAAAUUAAUAUGUAAUGAAAUCAUUUGUCUGGGUAUUUCCUAUGCAUUCCCGUUAAUCUCCUAAUGACUUUAUAUUAGGCAUUGCACCUCACACUCCAAAAUUAGUAACAGACUUAUCAGAACUAUUUUCACAUAUACAUAUACUCCAUGUACACCUGAACAUAAGCAGGUUUAUUUCUAACUAUCCCUCAGAAGUCUUCUUUGUUGAGGCCUCACAAAAUCUCUUUACAAGGAGUACUCUCAAUUAUUUAUUUGAAUUUCAGGUAAUAGUUGGGAAAUCACAUUAGACUGAAGCCACUUCUAUCAAUGUUACUUUCAGAAAGCUAAAAAUAAAUAAAUAAAUAAAUAAGCCACCAGGUGAAGUAUUUAAAAACAAGACAUCUUAGUUCCCAUUGUGGCUGAAUGGGUUAAGAACCCAAAUAGUAUCCAUGAGGAUGGGGGUUUGAUCCCUGGCCUUGCUCAGUGGGUUAAGGAUCCGGUGUUACUGUGAGCUGCAGCACAGGCCACAGAUGACGCUGGGAUCUGGUGUUGCUGUGGCUGUGGCAUAUGCCUUAGCUGCAGCUCCGAUUCAACCCCAGCCUGGGAACUUACAUAUGCCACAGGUGUGGCCCUGAAAAGAAAAAUAAUAAUAAAAAAAAAGAGAUAAAGAAAUAUAACAAUGACUUAGUUAUUAUUCUUAGAGACAUGAUCUCAAAAACAAGCAUAGUAUGCAUUACAACAAGCAUUUUAAAGAUCACUUUUGGCACAACACGGUAAAUCAAUUAUACUCUAAUUUUUAAAAAGUAAAAAAAUAAAGAUCACUUUUAAGAACAAUAGAAGUGGUUAUACAAUGCAGAAAUUAAUUACCUACAGGAUGCAUGAAAACCAUUUCUAAUUUGAUAUUUAUACAAUGAAUAAUCUGAAGCAUGAAAUUUCUUUUAUCAUACCUGUGUAAAACAUUCCUAUCUUUCAAAACAAAUUAUUUUUCCUAUUAUAGUUGCUUUAUAAUGUUCUGCCAAUUUCUGCUGUACAGCAGAGACCGUCACACACACACGCACACAUUCUUUUUCUUACAUUAUCCUCCAUCAUGUUCCAUCACAAGUGA
RNAcentral lists this long non-coding RNA (2606 nucleotides) under Sus scrofa (pig). Its description in RNAcentral is "lncRNA (ENSSSCG00025002833.1)". Lineage: Eukaryota; Metazoa; Chordata; Mammalia; Artiodactyla; Suidae. The record is from RNAcentral.